UAUGUUUUUACUUGUUAAUCAAUUACUUUUAACAUUCAUCAUAUUUAUGACUCGUUCACACGGAUGCGCAUUAAAUGACAGAAUCUUCCGCGGUAGGUAUGUAAAUGUGAACCAUGAUCAAUAUAUUUUCUCCUCUUUGAAUAUUCAGAAAAACCAGUAACAAUAGAAUUCACGCUUGUGGACAUAAAAAAUGGGCGCUUAUUCCUGGGGGUCAAGACCUAAGUGUAGUACAAUUGACUAUACCAAUAUGGGAUUUCAAAAUUUCCCCCUGACCCCGCUGAAUCCGCGAUUAAAUGCAAGUGCGCAAGGUACCCGGCGUCCCUAAUAUUGGCAAUCGUAACUACUCGGCUAUUUCCGUAACCGCAAAUGAACCGGUUACGGGAAAAGGCGAGUGCGUGAUCAAAUUGUAAGAAUGUGCUACACGGGCAGAUGAAAACAACCCAUGGUCUCGCGCGGAAAUGAGCGAAAUGAAAGAGACGUAUCCGGUAGUUAGUAUUUAUCCGGAAUGCUAGUGUGCAAUGGCGGCAAUAAACAAACGAAGCGGAUACGUUGCAUUGAAGGAAAAACUUCUUUAUUUCUUUCUUACCGUUAUGUAGACCAGUGAAAAUAAUGUACAACGAUUAAUCGCAUAAAUCCCAUGAAGAAUAGAAAACUGAAAGUAGGGCAAACAUAGAUCCCUGGACAUAUCAGAGGUGAGAUCAGACAGAUCAUGAGAUGGAAACCAAUGUAAUUGAGAUGAAAAGGGAGUACAACUCGAAAUAUCAAGGAAAAACAAGAAAGGCCAUUGUGAAUCAGCAGAUGAUGUCCUAUACAACCAUCCUUCCAUGACACAUGCAAUGGGAAGUUUAUUUCAGGAAACAAAGCCUGUCUGAAACUCCAAAAUGACAUUUCCAGAAAGCUGAAGAAUGGAUAAAAAUGUAUCUACCAUCUUACAACCCAGAUUUCAUUCCACUGAAAAGAAAAGGGACAGGAAAUUUUGCAUGUCCAUGUCUUAGAAGGCGAAUAGGUGAAAAGUCAAUAGAUGCUUACCAUAUCAGAUGCUUGCAGAGGAUACUGGGGAUAAAGUAGCAGAAAAUUAUGGAAAACAGGGAAGUGACAGCCAGGACUAUGGAGGGGAGGUGACAAUGACAGUGAGAUGGCGUUAGGUUGGACACCAGAAGGGAAGAGGGCAUUUAAGAGACCGAAAACAACCUGGAAAGGAAGAGUAGAAGCAGAAAGAAAGAUUGCAGAAUGGAGAAACUUGAAUGAGAUCAAGCUGGUAGCAAUAGAACAGAGUGGAUUGGAGAGAGUCUCGGUCCUAUGUGUUUUGGCAUGGAGAGAACUAAGUAAUGUCUAGAUUGUUGGAGAUAGGAUGACCAGGAAUAUGAAUGGAUGUGCUGGAAACUUUACUAAGACCCUUAUGCAUUUGGAUAGAUUUACAUACCAUCAUGAUUUUGCUAUGAAAAUCUUGAAAAAAAAUCCUCAACUCAUAUUGUAGCUGACAUUGUACAUUUGUACUUAUUAAUAUUUCAAAUGAACAUAUUUUUAGACAUACAAUAUCUAAACUUUAGAGUCCAUGUACAUCUCCACAUUGGAUAAUAGGUUAUGAUAUAUGUGUGUGAAAUCUUUUCCUAUGGUAUGCACAUGUUAACACAUUAGUUUAAAUGAUGAUGUAUAUCUUAUGACUAUGGAAGAGAAUGUGUUCAGAACAGAAUAUGUGUCUAGAAGAGUUGUUGCCCUUGAAUGUAAUUCAUUAUUUACAUGGGGUUGAAAAAUAAUCCAGCACACAGUAGUACUAAAUGCAUUAUGUUAAAUACAUUUAUGAAGGGUAUAAGUGAUACUGUCAAUUACUGAUUAAUACACUUUGUGAAAUCAUAUUAUUCUUAUGUUUAAUAAAUUUCAAGGCUGUACCUUUGUACAUUUUACAAUAUAAUAUUCUGCACUUUGGUAUCAAAUUCUCUUAACCUAAUUUAAGAGUUACAUAUUCAUUAACAGCAAGUUAAUUAUGAUAUGUUAUGUAGUUUGUCAAAGGGGCAAUAGCUGUGAAAGUGAUGGCAACCUUUUUAUUCAAAAUCUCUCAAUAAGAAUAUAUAUCAAUGCCUAAUAAUAAUAUUUAUUUUGUACAAAAACAGUAGUGUACGUGUACAGAUGUUGUGUACACAGCACCACCCCUCCACUGUCUACAAAAUAUAUACCUGUAUAACCAGCAAUAUCACCAGAAUAUGUUAUUUCCCCACCGAUCAUCUUCAUAAGUCAUUAUGAAGUCAGUUCUACAUUCUAUGAGCUCUGGUGAGAUAUUGAUAAAUACCGUACCACUGGAUCUAAAAGAAAUCCGUUUUACCACCGUCCCAUUUAUUUUCGUUUGAUAGUCAAGAAUUUUAGACGAUCGCGAGUUAUCCUCUGCUACCCCCCCCCCCCCCUUCA
Molecule: long non-coding RNA, 2403 nt
Organism: Ostrea edulis (European flat oyster)
Lineage: Eukaryota; Metazoa; Mollusca; Bivalvia; Ostreida; Ostreidae
Exons: 4
Source: RefSeq, a predicted model, not a curated record